UAAGGGACUACGUAUCGGAUUUACUGGGCGUAAGCGUGCGUAGGCGGCUUAUUAAGUCGGAUGUGAAAUCCCCGAGCUUAACUUGGGAAUUGCAUUCGAUACUGGUGAGCUAGAGUAUGGGAGAGGAUGGUAGAAUUCCAGGUGUAGCGGUGAAAUGCGUAGAGAUCUGGAGGAAUACCGAUGGCGAAGGCAGCCAUCUGGCCUAAUACUGACGCUGAGGUACGAAAGCAUGGGGAGCAAACAGGAUUAGAUACCCUGGUAGUCCAUGCCGUAAACGAUGUCUACUAGCCGUUGGGGCCUUUGAGGCUUUAGUGGCGCAGCUAACGCGAUAAGUAGACCGCCUGGGGAGUACGGUCGCAAGACUAAAACUCAAAUGAAUUGACGGGGGCCCGCACAAGCGGUGGAGCAUGUGGUUUAAUUCGAUGCAACGCGAAGAACCUUACCUGGCCUUGACAUACUAGAAACUUUCCAGAGAUGGAUUGGUGCCUUCGGGAAUCUAGAUACAGGUGCUGCAUGGCUGUCGUCAGCUCGUGUCGUGAGAUGUUGGGUUAAGUCCCGCAACGAGCGCAACCCUUUUCCUUACUUGCCAGCAUUUCGGAUGGGAACUUUAAGGAUACUGCCAGUGACAAACUGGAGGAAGGCGGGGACGACGUCAAGUCAUCAUGGCCCUUACGGCCAGGGCUACACACGUGCUACAAUGGUCGGUACAAAGGGUUGCUACACAGCGAUGUGAUGCUAAUCUCAAAAAGCCGAUCGUAGUCCGGAUUGGAGUCUGCAACUCGACUCCAUGAAGUCGGAAUCGCUAGUAAUCGCGGAUCAGAAUGCCGCGGUGAAUACGUUCCCGGGCCUUGUACACACCGCCCGUCACACCAUGGGAGUUUGUUGCACCAGAAGUAGCUAGCCUAACUGCAAAGAGGGCGGUUACCACGGUGUGGCCGAUGACUGGGGUGAGCGAGAAGGGGGAGACGCCACAUAAAACUCUUACGGGGGGGUCUUUCUCGCGAGAGAAAAACCCGAGACGCAUGUGUGAGGAGCGUAGGAGGAGUUGUUGUGUCGUAUGGGUUUUUCACAAAAGGGGGCUCUGUCUCCCCCCUACGGGGUUGGAGGGACGCCCGCAGCUUGUGUUGACGUGUUUGUGCGCCACUAGAGGAGGGUAUGCGCUUCGCCGAGCUGUGUGGUGCGCGUGUGAUGCGCGUCGUAAAAGGAGAUGAGAGCUGUUCGUCCGACGCGUCAUCGCACUUAGAUCGAUGAGUCAUCUGAUAUGCUGACCGAUGAUCUAGAUGAGGACGACUAAGUCGAUGAUCCAUCGAUCGCAUCAUACUGCAUAUUGU
RNAcentral lists this ribosomal RNA (1331 nucleotides) under Acinetobacter sp. enrichment culture clone RS4. RNAcentral describes it as "bacterial SSU rRNA". The stretch from base 7 to 984 matches the Rfam family "Bacterial small subunit ribosomal RNA". Lineage: Bacteria; Pseudomonadati; Pseudomonadota; Gammaproteobacteria; Moraxellales; Moraxellaceae. The record is from RNAcentral.